RNAcentral lists this ribosomal RNA (257 nucleotides) under uncultured bacterium. Its description in RNAcentral is "partial 16S ribosomal RNA". It matches the Rfam family "Bacterial small subunit ribosomal RNA", at positions 333 to 607 of the family's 1533-position model. The record is from RNAcentral.
UUUCUCCUACGGGAGGCAGCAGUGGGGAAUAUUGCACAAUGGGGGAAACCCUGAUGCAGCGACGCCGCGUGAGUGAAGAAGUAUUUCGGUAUGUAAAGCUCUAUCGGCAGGGAAGAUAAUGACGGUACCUGACUAAGAAGCCCCGGCUAACUACGUGCCAGCAGCCGCGGGAAUACGUAGGGGGCAAGCGUUAUCCGGAUUUACUUGGUGUAAAGGGAGCGUAGGGGGCAGGGCAAGUCAGAUGUGAAAACCCGGGG